This 301-nucleotide ribosomal RNA is filed under the name uncultured bacterium. RNAcentral's name for it is "partial 16S ribosomal RNA". It matches the Rfam family "Bacterial small subunit ribosomal RNA", at positions 509 to 808 of the family's 1533-position model. The record is from RNAcentral.
CAGCAGCCGCGGUAAUACGUAGGUCCCGAGCGUUGUCCGGAUUUAUUGGGCGUAAAGGGAGCGCAGGCGGUUUAGUAAGUCUGAAGUUAAAGGCAUUGGCUCAACCAAUGUAUGCUUUGGAAACUGUUAGACUUGAGUGCAGAAGGGGAGAGUGGAAUUCCAUGUGUAGCGGUGAAAUGCGUAGAUAUAUGGAGGAACACCGGUGGCGAAAGCGGCUCUCUGGUCUGUCACUGACGCUGAGGCUCGAAAGCGUGGGUAGCGAACAGGAUUAGAUACCCGGGUAGUCCCUGUCUCUUAUACA